RNAcentral lists this ribosomal RNA (740 nucleotides) under uncultured archaeon. RNAcentral's name for it is "bacterial SSU rRNA". It matches the Rfam family "Archaeal small subunit ribosomal RNA", at positions 1 to 750 of the family's 1478-position model. The record is from RNAcentral.
UUCCGGUUGAUCCUGCCGGACCCGACUGCUAUCAGAGUGGGACUAAGCCAUGCGAGUCAACGUAGCAAUACGUGGCAUACGGCUCAGUAACACGUAGUCAACAUGCCCAGGGGACGAGGAUAACCUCGGGAAACUGAGGAUAAACCUCGAUAGGCCAUGAUUUCUGGAAUGAUUCUUGGCUCAAACCUAUAUGGCCCCUGGAUUGGACUGCGGCCGAUCAGGCUGUUGGUGAGGUAAUGGCCCACCAAACCUAUUACCGGUACGGGCUCUGAGAGGAGGAGCCCGGAGAUGGGCACUGAGACAAGGGCCCAGGCCCUAUGGGGCGCAGCAGGCGCGAAACCUCUGCAAUAGGCGAAAGCUUGACAGGGUUACUCUGAGUGAUUUCCGCUAAGGGAAUCUUUUGGCACCUCUAAAAAUGGUGCAGAAUAAGGGGUGGGCAAGUCUGGUGUCAGCCGCCGCGGUAAUACCAGCACCCCGAGUGGUCGGGACGAUUAUUGGGCCUAAAGCAUCCGUAGCCGGUCCUGCAAGUCUUCCGUUAAAUCCAGCUGCUCAACAGAUGGGCUGCGGGAGAUACUACAGGGCUAGGAGGCGGGAGAGGCAAGCGGUACUUUAUGGGUAGGGGUAAAAUCCGCUGAUCCAUAGAAGACCACCAGUGGCGAAGGCGGCUUGCCAGAACGCGCUCGACGGUGAGGGACGAAAGCUGGGGGAGCAAACCGGAUUAGAUACCCGGGUAGUCCCAG